RNAcentral lists this ribosomal RNA (498 nucleotides) under uncultured bacterium. RNAcentral's name for it is "partial 16S ribosomal RNA". It matches the Rfam family "Bacterial small subunit ribosomal RNA", at positions 28 to 523 of the family's 1533-position model. The record is from RNAcentral.
GAUGAACGCUAGCUACAGGCUUAACACAUGCAAGUCGAGGGGUAGCAGGGUAGCAAUACCGCUGACGACCGGCGCACGGGUGAGUAACACGUAUCCAACCUUCCCAUAACUCGGGGAUAGCCUUUCGAAAGAAAGAUUAAUACCCGAUAGUACUUUUUCAAGGCAUCUUGAGAAAGUUACAGAUUUAUUGGUUAUGGAUGGGGAUGCGUUCCAUUAGAUAGUUGGUGAGGUAACGGCUCACCAAGUCGUCGAUGGAUAGGGGUUCUGAGAGGAAGGUCGCCCACAUUGGUACUGAGACACGGACCAAACUCCUAGGGGAGGCAGCAGUGAGGAAUAUUGGUCAAUGGGCGAGAGCCUGUACCAGCCAAGUAGCGUGAAGGAUGAAGGUCCUAUGGAUUGUAAACUUCUUUUAUAGUAGAAUAAAGUGAACCACGUGUGGUUUUUUGUAUGUAUACUAUGAAUAAGGAUCGGCUAACUCCGUGCCAGCCGCCGCCGUAA